AUACCUUUCUCGGCCUUUUGGCUAAGAUCAAGUGUAGUAUCUGUUCUUAUCAGUUUAAUAUCUGAUAUGUGGGCCAUGUGUCCACUUUGAUAUUAAAUUAAUUUUUUGUGGGGGAGGGCUCGCCAUAGUGGCUUGCUACUAGGGCCCUCGAGCGUCGUCCAGGCGUUGCACUGCUGCCUGGGCCUGGCGCAACCCAA
Molecule: small nuclear RNA, 197 nt
Organism: Leersia perrieri
Lineage: Eukaryota; Viridiplantae; Streptophyta; Magnoliopsida; Poales; Poaceae
Rfam family: U2 spliceosomal RNA
About the family: U2 is a small nuclear RNA (snRNA) component of the spliceosome (involved in pre-mRNA splicing).
Source: Rfam